This 55-nucleotide small nucleolar RNA is filed under the name Metallosphaera sedula DSM 5348. RNAcentral's name for it is "Small nucleolar RNA sR20". It matches the Rfam family "Small nucleolar RNA sR20". The record is from Rfam by way of RNAcentral. Lineage: Archaea; Thermoproteati; Thermoproteota; Thermoprotei; Sulfolobales; Sulfolobaceae.
AUCAGUGAUGAGAAGAGGGUCGUAUGAUUAGUGAUUAGCGCUGGAAAUUCUGAAA